This 343-nucleotide ribosomal RNA is filed under the name uncultured bacterium. RNAcentral describes it as "bacterial SSU rRNA". It matches the Rfam family "Bacterial small subunit ribosomal RNA", at positions 28 to 334 of the family's 1533-position model. The record is from RNAcentral.
GAUAAACGCUGGCGGCGCACAUAAGACAUGCAAGUCGAACGGAAGUCGUUAUAAAAUGGAUUGAAGAUUUAUCUGAUUGAAAUUUUAUAACAAUGGCCUUAGUGGCGGACGGGUGAGUAACGUGUGGGCAACCUGCCCUAUACUGGGGAAUAAUCACUGGAAACGGUGACUAAUACCGCAUGUCAUCACCGGAGGGCAUCCUCUGGUGAAAAAAGGAGCAAUUCGGUAUAGGAUGGGCCCGCAUCUGAUUAGCUAGUUGGUGAGAUAACAGCCCACCAAGGCGACGAUCAGUAGCCGACCUGAGAGGGUGAUCGGCCACAUUGGGACUGAGACACGGGCCCAA